CGGUUGAUCCUGCCGGAGGCCACUGCUAUGGGGGUCCGACUAAGCCAUGCGAGUCAUGGGGCGCGCUCUGCGCGCACCGGCGGACGGCUCAGUAACACGUCGGUAACCUACCCUCGGGAGGGGGAUAACCCCGGGAAACUGGGGCUAAUCCCCCAUAGGCCUGGGGUACUGGAAGGUCCCCAGGCCGAAAGGGGCUCUGCCCGCCCGAGGAUGGGCCGGCGGCCGAUUAGGUAGUUGGUGGGGUAACGGCCCACCAAGCCGAAGAUCGGUACGGGCCAUGAGAGUGGGAGCCCGGAGAUGGACACUGAGACACGGGUCCAGGCCCUACGGGGCGCAGCAGGCGCGAAACCUCCGCAAUGCGGGCAACCGCGACGGGGGGACCCCCAGUGCCGUGGCACAGCCACGGCUUUUCCGGAGUGUAAAAAGCUCCGGGAAUAAGGGCUGGGCAAGGCCGGUGGCAGCAGCCGCCGGUAAUACCGGCGGCCCAAGUGGUGGCCGCUAUUAUUGGGCCUAAAGCGUCCGUAGCCGGGCCCGUAAGUCCCUGGCGAAAUCCCACGGCUCAACCGUGGGGCUUGCUGGGGAUACUGCGGGCCUUGGGACCGGGAGAGGCCGGGGGUACCCCUGGGGUAGGGGUGAAAUCCUAUAAUCCCAGGGGGACCGCCAGUGGCGAAGGCGCCCGGCUGGAACGGGUCCGACGGUGAGGGACGAAGGCCAGGGGAGCGAACCGGAUUAGAUACCCGGGUAGUCCUGGCUGUAAAGGAUGCGGGCUAGGUGUCGGGCGAGCUUCGAGCUCGCCCGGUGCCGGAGGGAAGCCGUUAAGCCCGCCGCCUGGGGAGUACGGCCACAAGGCUGAAACUUUAAGGAAUUUGGCGGGGGAGCACAG
This 883-nucleotide ribosomal RNA is filed under the name archaeon enrichment culture clone BIG A_Brut_11. Its description in RNAcentral is "bacterial SSU rRNA". It matches the Rfam family "Archaeal small subunit ribosomal RNA", at positions 5 to 881 of the family's 1478-position model. The record is from RNAcentral.